This 245-nucleotide ribosomal RNA is filed under the name uncultured bacterium. RNAcentral describes it as "partial 16S ribosomal RNA". It matches the Rfam family "Bacterial small subunit ribosomal RNA", at positions 528 to 772 of the family's 1533-position model. The record is from RNAcentral.
UAGGGGGCGAGCGUUAUCCGGAUUUACUGGGUGUAAAGGGAGCGUAGACGGCCAUGCAAGCUCGGUGUGAAAGGUGCGGGCACAACCCGCAGACUGCACUGAGAACUGUGUGGCUGGAGUGCCGGAGGGGCAGGCGGAAUUCCUGGUGUAGCGGUGAAAUGCGUAGAUAUCAGGAGGAACACCGGUGGCGAAGGCGGCCUGCUGGACGGCGACUGACGUUGAGGCUCGAGAGCGUGGGGAGCGAA